Molecule: antisense RNA, 75 nt
Filed under: Streptomyces cyaneogriseus subsp. noncyanogenus
Lineage: Bacteria; Bacillati; Actinomycetota; Actinomycetes; Kitasatosporales; Streptomycetaceae
Description: ASpks TB sRNA
Rfam family: ASpks TB sRNA
Source: Rfam by way of RNAcentral
CUUCAGCGACCCCAGCAGCAGCGGGCGGCCCGGGUCCCGGCCGCGCCCGUAGGCCGCCGCGAGCGCCCCCGCCUC